ACAGUGAUGGUUCAGCGGUAGGAUCCUCACCUUCUAUGUGGGAGCCCCAGGUUCGAUCCCCGGCCAGUGUA
RNAcentral lists this transfer RNA (71 nucleotides) under Loxodonta africana (African savanna elephant). It matches the Rfam family "tRNA". Rfam says of the family: Transfer RNA (tRNA) molecules are approximately 80 nucleotides in length. Lineage: Eukaryota; Metazoa; Chordata; Mammalia; Proboscidea; Elephantidae. The record is from Rfam by way of RNAcentral.